CCAAAACAAACAAACAGAGACCCGAAUAAAUAGAAACAGAUCAACCCCCAAAGCCAUAGAGGGUGCGGCCCUGGCGCUUGAGAGCAUACACCACAUCCAUCGCCGUCACCGUCUUGCGGCGCGCGUGCUCGGUGUAGGUCACGGCAUCGCGGAUGACGUUCUCCAGAAAGAUCUUCAGCACGCCUCGGGUCUCCUCGUAGAUGAGGCCGCUGAUCCUCUUCACUCCGCCCCGGCGAGCCAGGCGGCGGAUGGCCGGCUUGGUGAUGCCCUGGAUGUUGUCCCGCAGCACCUUGCGAUGGCGCUUGGCGCCGCCCUUGCCGAGCCCCUUCCCUCCCUUGCCACGGCCUGACAUGAUUGAUGAGAGAUUCG
RNAcentral lists this unclassified non-coding RNA (369 nucleotides) under Hevea brasiliensis (rubber tree). The record is from RNAcentral. Lineage: Eukaryota; Viridiplantae; Streptophyta; Magnoliopsida; Malpighiales; Euphorbiaceae.